GACGUAGGGUGCGAGCGUUGUCCGGAUUUAUUGGGCGUAAAGAGCUCGUAGGCGGCUCGUCGCGUCGACCGUGAAAACCCGCGGCUUAACUGCGGGCUUGCGGUUGAUACGGGCGGGCUAGAGUUCGGUAGGGGAGACUGGAAUUCCUGGUGUAGCAGUGAAAUGCGCAGAUAUCAGGAGGAACACCGGUGGCGAAGGCGGUUCUCUGGGCAUUACCUGACGCUGAGGAGCGAAAGUGUGGGGAGCGAACAGG
This 253-nucleotide ribosomal RNA is filed under the name uncultured bacterium. Its description in RNAcentral is "partial 16S ribosomal RNA". It matches the Rfam family "Bacterial small subunit ribosomal RNA", at positions 524 to 776 of the family's 1533-position model. The record is from RNAcentral.